Molecule: long non-coding RNA, 391 nt
Filed under: Equus asinus (donkey)
Lineage: Eukaryota; Metazoa; Chordata; Mammalia; Perissodactyla; Equidae
Description: lncRNA (ENSEASG00005037942.1)
Source: RNAcentral
GUAAAAGACAGCUGCCUGACGCCCAGGGAGGCAGGUAAAGUGGCCAGAGUAUCCAGGAAAGAACCAGAGAAAGCAGCCUGAGCUGCCAGAAAGACUGAGCUGAGAUCAGGAGAUGUGAGUUUUAUUUGUAGCUCUAUCACUACAAAGAAUCUGACAGCUUUUUGGGGUCUCAGCUUUCUCUUCUGUAAAAUAGGGGUAGUUGCUUGACUAACUUUGGAAAUACAUGGAUAAAGAAAGAGAAAAUAAUUCCAUUGUGCUUAGUUUUGCUUUGUGUAUGACCGACUUCUUGCAACCUUAUACUUUCUGUUUUGUUUACAAUGAUUCUUCAGGGAGGUGAGAGACUGUGUAUCAGAAUCUCCAGGGGGAGUUUGUGCAAUUUGAAAACAAACAA